GAUGAAGAACGCAGCGAAAUGCGAUAAGUAAUGCGAAUUGCAGAUUUCAGUGAAUCAUCGAAUCUUUGAACGCACAUUGCGCCCCUUGGUACUCCAUGGGGCAUGCCUGUUCGAGCGUCAUUUACACCCUCAAGCUCAGCUUGGUGUUGGGCGUCUGUCCCGCUUCGUGCGCGGACUCGCCUCAAAUGCAUUGGCAGCGGUCUUGCCAGCUUCUCGCGCAGCACAUUGCGCUUCUAGAGGCUUUGGCGGAUCGGCGUCCAUCAAGUACACCCACAGUUUGACCUCGGAUCAGGUAGGGAUACCCGCUGAACUUAAGCAUAUCAAUAGCGGAGGA
This 334-nucleotide unclassified non-coding RNA is filed under the name soil metagenome. RNAcentral describes it as "partial contains 5.8S ribosomal RNA, internal transcribed spacer 2, and large subunit ribosomal RNA". The stretch from base 1 to 120 matches the Rfam family "5.8S ribosomal RNA", at positions 35 to 154 of the family's 154-position model. The record is from RNAcentral.